UACGUAGGGGGCAAGCGUUGUCCGGAUUUAUUGGGCGUAAAGGGCGCGCAGGCGGCUAUCCAAGUCAGGCGUGAAAGCCCCGGGCUUAACCUGGGAGGUGCGUCUGGGACUGGGUGGCUAGAGUUCGGGAGAGGAGAGUGGAAUUCCCAGUGUAGAGGUGAAAUUCGUAGAUAUUGGGAAGAACACCGGUGGCGAAGGCGGCUCUCUGGACCGAGACUGACGCUGAGGCGCGAAAGCGUGGGGAGCAAACAGG
This 253-nucleotide ribosomal RNA is filed under the name uncultured bacterium. RNAcentral's name for it is "partial 16S ribosomal RNA". It matches the Rfam family "Bacterial small subunit ribosomal RNA", at positions 524 to 776 of the family's 1533-position model. The record is from RNAcentral.